RNAcentral lists this ribosomal RNA (253 nucleotides) under uncultured bacterium. RNAcentral's name for it is "partial 16S ribosomal RNA". It matches the Rfam family "Bacterial small subunit ribosomal RNA", at positions 524 to 776 of the family's 1533-position model. The record is from RNAcentral.
UACGUACCGUACGAACGUUAUUCGGAAUUACUGGGCGUAAAGGGCGCGUAGGCGGUCUGUUAAGUUCGGUGUGAAAUCCCCUGGCUCAACUGGGGAACUGCGCUGGAAACUGGCAGACUCGAGUACCGGAGAGGCGAGUGGAAUUCCUGGUGUAGAGGUGAAAUUCGUAGAUAUUGGGAAGAACACCGGUGGCGAAGGCGGCGAGCUGGCCUGUACCUGACGCUGAGGCGCGACAGCGUGGGGAGCAAACAGG